RNAcentral lists this long non-coding RNA (750 nucleotides) under Heterocephalus glaber (naked mole-rat). Its description in RNAcentral is "lncRNA (ENSHGLG00100049219.1)". The record is from RNAcentral. Lineage: Eukaryota; Metazoa; Chordata; Mammalia; Rodentia; Bathyergidae.
CCGGGAUUUUGUCGCGUACUUUCUCAGCCAUUCCUGCCUUCCUGCCUCAGAGGGCUGAGUGAUCACCUCAGCUGAGUUGGGGGAUCCUUCCUUCUAUCCUUUGCUUUCACUCCAGAGAAAGAAGAGGACGAAAAGAAGUUUUCAAAGACAAUCCCUUUCCAAAUCCUAAAGAAGAUAAUUAACAUUGGGACACAUGGAAUCUGCUAAGCACUGAACUGGCCAGCUUCCACGAAUUAUCUGAUAAGCAUCUUUUGAGAGCCACUUUUCCAUCCCAGAUACUUGGACAAGAUAAUAGAAAAAGGCAUGAUGAACAACAAGAUCUACUACCUUGCCUUCUGGUAUUUACAAGUCUAAGGGGGUUAACAUUAACUAGGAAUUUUUAGACAAUCAUAUGGUAGUAGACAGUUCAAAUAAAUUAUUUACUAAUAUUUUAAAAAUCCGGCACAAGAGGAGACUUCCGGACUGCCGUACCUCACCCCACAAGCUCAGAGAAGGUGAGUCGCGCAGGUGCCAAGAGCACCCCCCUCCCUCCUUUGAAAUGAGAAGACACGUAAGCAAGUUUCAAAACCAGUCUUCGAGAUCACCUAAAACCCCAAAAGGAAACGAGAUGGAACACUGUGAUACUCAACCCCCUGGACACCCUGAACUGCAACAAAAGAGGAUCUGGGAAAAAUGAAAUCAGAAAUAAUUUCUCAGAUAACAACAGAGAUUGUGCCCAUAGGGCAAGACAUGAUUAAUAAAUCUAGAGAG